CCUACGGGAGGCAGCAGUGAGGAAUAUUGGUCAAUGGGCGGAAGCCUGAACCAGCCAAGUAGCGUGCAGGAUGACGGCCCUACGGGUUGUAAACUGCUUUUAUACGGGAAUAACGCGCCUUACGUGUAGGGCUUUGCAUGUACCGUAUGAAUAAGGACCGGCUAAUUCCGUGCCAGCAGCCGCGGUAAUACGGAGGGUCCGGGCGUUAUCCGGCUUUAUUGGGUUUAAAGGGCGCGUAGGCCGCAUGUCAAGCGUGCUGUGAAAUGUCCGGGCUCAACCCGGGCCUUGCAGCGCGAACUGGCGUGCUUGAGUCCGCGGAAAGCAGGCGGAAUUCGUCGUGGAGCGGUGAAAGGCUUAGAUAUGACGAAGAACCCCGAUUGCGAAGGCAGCUUGCUGCAGCGGAACUGACGCUGAUGCUCGAAAGCGCGGGUAUCGAACAGGAUUAGAUACCCCAGUAGUC
This 460-nucleotide ribosomal RNA is filed under the name uncultured bacterium. RNAcentral describes it as "partial 16S ribosomal RNA". It matches the Rfam family "Bacterial small subunit ribosomal RNA", at positions 338 to 795 of the family's 1533-position model. The record is from RNAcentral.